CCUUUACUGUAGCUUUGUAUUGGACUUUGAACAGAUCUGUGUAGGAUAGGUGGGAGGCUUUGAAGUGAGGUCGCUAGAUCUCAUGGAGCCAACGUUGAAAUACCACCCUGGUGUGUUUGAGGUUCUAACCUAGGUCCAUUAUCUGGAUCGGGGACAGUGCAUGGUAGGCAGUUUGACUGGGGGCGGUCUCCUCCCAAAGCGUAACGGAGGAGUUCGAAGGUACGCUAGUUACGGUCGGACAUCGUGACGAUAGUGCAAUGGCAUAAGCGUGCUUAACUGCGAGACUGACAAGUCGAGCAGAUGCGAAAGCAGGACAUAGUGAUCCGGUGGUUCUGUAUGGAAGGGCCAUCGCUCAACGGAUAAAAGGUA
Molecule: ribosomal RNA, 369 nt
Filed under: uncultured alga
Lineage: Eukaryota
Description: bacterial LSU rRNA
Rfam family: Bacterial large subunit ribosomal RNA
Source: RNAcentral